This 262-nucleotide ribosomal RNA is filed under the name uncultured bacterium. RNAcentral describes it as "partial 16S ribosomal RNA". It matches the Rfam family "Bacterial small subunit ribosomal RNA", at positions 515 to 776 of the family's 1533-position model. The record is from RNAcentral.
CCGCGGUAAUACGAAGGGGGCUAGCGUUGUUCGGAAUUACUGGGCGUAAAGCGCACGUAGGCGGAUCGGUCAGUUAGGGGUGAAAUCCCAGGGCUCAACCCUGGAACUGCCUCUAAUACUGCCGAUCUCGAGUUCGAGAGAGGUGAGUGGAAUUCCGAGUGUAGAGGUGAAAUUCGUAGAUAUUCGGAGGAACACCAGUGGCGAAGGCGGCUCACUGGCUCGAUACUGACGCUGAGGCGCGAAAGCUGGGGGAGCAAACGGG